AGAGUUUGAUCAUGGCUCAGAUUGAACGCUGGCGGCAGGCCUAACACAUGCAAGUCGAGCGGAUGAAGAGAGCUUGCUCUCUGAUUCAGCGGCGGACGGGUGAGUAAUGCCUAGGAAUCUGCCUGGUAGUGGGGGACAACGUUUCGAAAGGAACGCUAAUACCGCAUACGUCCUACGGGAGAAAGCAGGGGACCUUCGGGCCUUGCGCUAUCAGAUGAGCCUAGGUCGGAUUAGCUAGUUGGUGAGGUAGUGGCUCACCAAGGCGACGAUCCGUAACUGGUCUGAGAGGAUGAUCAGUCACACUGGAACUGAGACACGGUCCAGACUCCUACGGGAGGCAGCAGUGGGGAAUAUUGGACAAUGGGCGAAAGCCUGAUCCAGCCAUGCCGCGUGUGUGAAGAAGGUCUUCGGAUUGUAAAGCACUUUAAGUUGGGAGGAAGGGCAUGCACCUAAUACGUGUGUGUCUUGACGUUACCGACAGAAUAAGCACCGGCUAACUCUGUGCCAGCAGCCGCGGUAAUACAGAGGGUGCAAGCGUUAAUCGGAAUUACUGGGCGUAAAGCGCGCGUAGGUGGUUCGUUAAGUUGAAUGUGAAAUCCCCGGGCUCAACCUGGGAACUGCAUCCAAAACUGGCGAGCUAGAGUAUGGUAGAGGGUGGUGGAAUUUCCUGUGUAGCGGUGAAAUGCGUAGAUAUAGGAAGGAACACCAGUGGCGAAGGCGACCACCUGGACUGAUACUGACACUGAGGUGCGAAAGCGUGGGGAGCANACAGGAUUAGAUACCCUGGUAGUC
Molecule: ribosomal RNA, 792 nt
Filed under: uncultured bacterium
Lineage: Bacteria
Description: bacterial SSU rRNA
Rfam family: Bacterial small subunit ribosomal RNA
Source: RNAcentral